RNAcentral lists this long non-coding RNA (880 nucleotides) under Capsicum annuum. Its description in RNAcentral is "long non-coding RNA (CANN_LNC007677)". The record is from RNAcentral. Lineage: Eukaryota; Viridiplantae; Streptophyta; Magnoliopsida; Solanales; Solanaceae.
UUCUAAUCACGCGGUAUUUUGACUAUCUUGAAAGAUCCACACGAAAACAAACAAAAAUAUAGAAAAAGAUAUUUACAAAUUGUAAUUAAAAAAAAUAGCUAAUGAUAAAAAAGAAGAUGCAAUAAGGAUCAAGUCAUCCUAUUCUUUUCAUCAAACACCAAUAUAUAAUUCUCACUUUCAAUUUUCAGAAAACACGUUAGUUUCAGUCAUCACAAUAUUUGAAAGAAUGAGACCAAAUAUAGUUUCAUAUCUGCUAAUAUUUUUAUUAGUCAUGGUGAACUUUUGUGUAGAAGCAAGGUCCCUUCAAUAUUAUUCUUCCUAUGAGGAAUUGUUCAAAUCUCAACACAUGGUGGCUAGAGAGCUUAGAGGUUUAAAGAGGAAUAAGGGAAGAAUCAUACCAACACCAUCACCACCAAAACCUAAUUUGGUGAUUCAUUUUAGUCCUCCUCCUCCUCCUCUUCCUCCUCCUCCACUGACAGGGCCGGAGAUACAGUAUUAAGUAUGGGUUCAGAUGAACUCACUAGGUUUGUUAAGUAGUAUAUUUGUAUUAAGUAAAUGUAUUGAUGAAUAUGUAUAAGUAAUUAAUUGUGGUUCCAAUAAAUCAGACGAUGUAUGAAUUUGUUGACAAGUUCAAUAAACUUUUAAUUUUACUUUUCCACUCUGUCCACUAAUGUCCACAAACUAACCAUAGUCCUCCAAACUUGACGCCGCUAUGUUGCUAAUAGACUCAACACGCAAGGCGAAAUCAGGAUUUGAAGUUAAUAUGUUUAAAAUUUUAGUCGGUUAAAUUUUAUUAGGUUUAUAAGUUGAUGUUUUGUAUAUAUGGUGAAUAAAUUUUUAAUAUAAGUACAUAAUUUAAAUCUAAACAAUUGAAUUUCUA